This 2787-nucleotide ribosomal RNA is filed under the name Escherichia coli. RNAcentral describes it as "bacterial LSU rRNA". It matches the Rfam family "Bacterial large subunit ribosomal RNA". The record is from RNAcentral. RNAcentral also lists the same sequence under 1 other name. Lineage: Bacteria; Pseudomonadati; Pseudomonadota; Gammaproteobacteria; Enterobacterales; Enterobacteriaceae.
AGCGUACACGGUGGAUGCCCUGGCAGUCAGAGGCGAUGAAGGACGUGCUAAUCUGCGAUAAGCGUCGGUAAGGUGAUAUGAACCGUUAUAACCGGCGAUUUCCGAAUGGGGAAACCCAGUGUGAUUCGUCACACUAUCAUUAACUGAAUCCAUAGGUUAAUGAGGCGAACCGGGGGAACUGAAACAUCUAAGUACCCCGAGGAAAAGAAAUCAACCGAGAUUCCCCCAGUAGCGGCGAGCGAACGGGGAGGAGCCCAGAGCCUGAAUCAGUGUGUGUGUUAGUGGAAGCGUCUGGAAAGGCGCGCGAUACAGGGUGACAGCCCCGUACACAAAAAUGCACAUGCUGUGAGCUCGAUGAGUAGGGCGGGACACGUGGUAUCCUGUCUGAAUAUGGGGGGACCAUCCUCCAAGGCUAAAUACUCCUGACUGACCGAUAGUGAACCAGUACCGUGAGGGAAAGGCGAAAAGAACCCCGGCGAGGGGAGUGAAAAAGAACCUGAAACCGUGUACGUACAAGCAGUGGGAGCCUCUUUAUGGGGUGACUGCGUACCUUUUGUAUAAUGGGUCAGCGACUUAUAUUCUGUAGCAAGGUUAACCGAAUAGGGGAGCCGAAGGGAAACCGAGUCUUAACUGGGCGUUAAGUUGCAGGGUAUAGACCCGAAACCCGGUGAUCUAGCCAUGGGCAGGUUGAAGGUUGGGUAACACUAACUGGAGGACCGAACCGACUAAUGUUGAAAAAUUAGCGGAUGACUUGUGGCUGGGGGUGAAAGGCCAAUCAAACCGGGAGAUAGCUGGUUCUCCCCGAAAGCUAUUUAGGUAGCGCCUCGUGAAUUCAUCUCCGGGGGUAGAGCACUGUUUCGGCAAGGGGGUCAUCCCGACUUACCAACCCGAUGCAAACUGCGAAUACCGGAGAAUGUUAUCACGGGAGACACACGGCGGGUGCUAACGUCCGUCGUGAAGAGGGAAACAACCCAGACCGCCAGCUAAGGUCCCAAAGUCAUGGUUAAGUGGGAAACGAUGUGGGAAGGCCCAGACAGCCAGGAUGUUGGCUUAGAAGCAGCCAUCAUUUAAAGAAAGCGUAAUAGCUCACUGGUCGAGUCGGCCUGCGCGGAAGAUGUAACGGGGCUAAACCAUGCACCGAAGCUGCGGCAGCGACACUAUGUGUUGUUGGGUAGGGGAGCGUUCUGUAAGCCUGCGAAGGUGUACUGUGAGGUAUGCUGGAGGUAUCAGAAGUGCGAAUGCUGACAUAAGUAACGAUAAAGCGGGUGAAAAGCCCGCUCGCCGGAAGACCAAGGGUUCCUGUCCAACGUUAAUCGGGGCAGGGUGAGUCGACCCCUAAGGCGAGGCCGAAAGGCGUAGUCGAUGGGAAACAGGUUAAUAUUCCUGUACUUGGUGUUACUGCGAAGGGGGGACGGAGAAGGCUAUGUUGGCCGGGCGACGGUUGUCCCGGUUUAAGCGUGUAGGCUGGUUUUCCAGGCAAAUCCGGAAAAUCAAGGCUGAGGCGUGAUGACGAGGCACUACGGUGCUGAAGCAACAAAUGCCCUGCUUCCAGGAAAAGCCUCUAAGCAUCAGGUAACAUCAAAUCGUACCCCAAACCGACACAGGUGGUCAGGUAGAGAAUACCAAGGCGCUUGAGAGAACUCGGGUGAAGGAACUAGGCAAAAUGGUGCCGUAACUUCGGGAGAAGGCACGCUGAUAUGUAGGUGAAGUCCCUCGCGGAUGGAGCUGAAAUCAGUCGAAGAUACCAGCUGGCUGCAACUGUUUAUUAAAAACACAGCACUGUGCAAACACGAAAGUGGACGUAUACGGUGUGACGCCUGCCCGGUGCCGGAAGGUUAAUUGAUGGGGUUAGCGGUAACGCGAAGCUCUUGAUCGAAGCCCCGGUAAACGGCGGCCGUAACUAUAACGGUCCUAAGGUAGCGAAAUUCCUUGUCGGGUAAGUUCCGACCUGCACGAAUGGCGUAAUGAUGGCCAGGCUGUCUCCACCCGAGACUCAGUGAAAUUGAACUCGCUGUGAAGAUGCAGUGUACCCGCGGCAAGACGGAAAGACCCCGUGAACCUUUACUAUAGCUUGACACUGAACAUUGAGCCUUGAUGUGUAGGAUAGGUGGGAGGCUUUGAAGUGUGGACGCCAGUCUGCAUGGAGCCGACCUUGAAAUACCACCCUUUAAUGUUUGAUGUUCUAACGUUGGCCCCUGAUCGGGGUUGCGGACAGUGUCUGGUGGGUAGUUUGACUGGGGCGGUCUCCUCCUAAAGAGUAACGGAGGAGCACGAAGGUUGGCUAAUCCUGGUCGGACAUCAGGAGGUUAGUGCAAUGGCAUAAGCCAGCUUGACUGCGAGCGUGACGGCGCGAGCAGGUGCGAAAGCAGGUCAUAGUGAUCCGGUGGUUCUGAAUGGAAGGGCCAUCGCUCAACGGAUAAAAGGUACUCCGGGGAUAACAGGCUGAUACCGCCCAAGAGUUCAUAUCGACGGCGGUGUUUGGCACCUCGAUGUCGGCUCAUCACAUCCUGGGGCUGAAGUAGGUCCCAAGGGUAUGGCUGUUCGCCAUUUAAAGUGGUACGCGAGCUGGGUUUAGAACGUCGUGAGACAGUUCGGUCCCUAUCUGCCGUGGGCGCUGGAGAACUGAGGGGGGCUGCUCCUAGUACGAGAGGACCGGAGUGGACGCAUCACUGGUGUUCGGGUUGUCAUGCCAAUGGCACUGCCCGGUAGCUAAAUGCGGAAGAGAUAAGUGCUGAAAGCAUCUAAGCACGAAACUUGCCCCGAGAUGAGUUCUCCCUGACUCCUUGA